This is a long non-coding RNA of Quercus robur (English oak), 750 nucleotides long. RefSeq lists it as uncharacterized. The transcript is spliced from 3 exons. Lineage: Eukaryota; Viridiplantae; Streptophyta; Magnoliopsida; Fagales; Fagaceae. The record is from RefSeq and is a predicted model, not a curated record.
UUUUUUUUUUUUUUUCCCUGCUCACUCACUCUGAUUCACUCUCACUCACUCACAGCGCCAACGCCGAUGCCAAUGCUAACCUAGCCCAUCGACGCCAUCAACAACAACGACAUCCCCAAAUGACGCCGUCGAGCUUGACUCCUACAUCGCCGUUCAAGAGAUCGAUGGUUCUGCUCCCACUCCCAAAACAAGGAGUCGGCGAUCUCGAGUUUGAAGGGGUGGUUGGCGAAUCCGGUGAUUGUGAGCAACCCGAUUCUGAGGUUGAUUGCUGGGAUCGUGUUUACAAUAAGGCUCUUAAGCACACCAACGCUGGUGGCACUAUGGAACUGUAAGUCUUAAAUUUUGAAAAAUAAAAAAUUUGGGAUUAAGGUUGUUGUUUAGUAUUAGAUUAGUAGAGUUAUUGAUAUAGUAAUAAAAGACUAGAGUAGGAAUAAAUCAAAAUUAGACAUUAUUGUGCUUCACAAUAAAUCAAAGAGACAAGAGCUAGGAACCAAGAGGAGCGAGUUAGGGACAAAGAGGUGCGAGCUAAGCAAGAAAAUGUCCAAAAGAAUAUUCUUAAAUUUUUGAGGAGCAAGGGUUAUGAUGAGGUUCUUACCUAUGAGGGUGGUUCAUCUUCAAGUUAAAACAAUUAUUGAUUUCUUAUUGGUGGCUUUUAGGGGAUUUACUUUUGGCAUUACUUGAAGACAUAUGAGGACAUCUUCUGUUGAUUAUAAUUAUAUUAUGCUACACUUUUUGUAUUGUAUGUAUGUG